Canis lupus familiaris (dog) is the source of this 339-nucleotide long non-coding RNA. RefSeq lists it as uncharacterized. Lineage: Eukaryota; Metazoa; Chordata; Mammalia; Carnivora; Canidae. The transcript has 3 exons. The record is from RefSeq and is a predicted model, not a curated record.
GACUGAGUCACCCAGGUGCCCCCUUUUAUGGGGUUCUAAUUGAAAAACUGUUUUCUUGCCUUUUCUAGCUUCUCGGGCUGGCCACAUUCCUUGACUCACAGCUCCCUGCCCCAUCUUGAAAGCCAGCAAUGUUGAGUGCAAUGCGCUGGACCACAGUUGGAGAACCUGACCCCCUCCACCCCCACUGACAGACACGGAGAAGACUCAGUUGGAGUAGCUGAUGAGGGUAGAAGAAGAUUCCAGUACUUCUCACUAUCUUCCCUGCUCCAAUCCUGGUUCAAGUCACUGCCAGCUAUUUCUAAAAUACAGAGAAAGGCCACAGGUACAGCUUUCCACCUC